Fundulus heteroclitus (mummichog) is the source of this 71-nucleotide small nucleolar RNA. Its record names the gene SNORD18. It matches the Rfam family "Small nucleolar RNA SNORD18". Rfam says of the family: U18 is a member of the C/D class of snoRNA which contain the C (UGAUGA) and D (CUGA) box motifs. It is encoded in introns of ribosomal protein L1 in Xenopus and human, and in introns of elongation factor 1 beta in yeast. The record is from Ensembl. NCBI's taxonomy places the organism in Eukaryota, Metazoa, Chordata, Actinopteri, Cyprinodontiformes, Fundulidae.
UCUCAGUGAUGAACUUCCACUUCAUGGUCCGUGUUUUUGAACUCUGUGAUAUUUGCUGAAGUUCUGAGUUG